GAGAAAAUAAAAGCAUCAUUAGAGCUGGUAUAACUUUAAUUUUCCCAAAUGGUCCUGAGGCAGGGGACGAAGAAUGGAAACAAUGAAAAAAAUGCCACUGGCCCAGCUGCAAGAUCGGCCCCCAGAAAAAUGCCACAAAUCUAUCAUAUUUAUACCAUCUGCAGACUGAGAAUGCACCAACCCCCUUACAUUGCAUGCUAUGGAAAUAUCAAUCUUGAGUAUGUAAGACUUUCAUGAUUGCAUUGUGUGACUGCAUCAUAAAAUGUCACUGUUAUGUUUCCAGAAAUUCUGAAGAAGACACUCUCAUGAUUUCCUGACCUUCAGGUUCUCUUUGGGCUCUACCUUUCAACUUAAUCUAAUAUGUCAUCUGUUUUUCUCUGCACAUUUCUUCCUGAGCUAUUCUCAGCAGGGACUUUAUCCAUUUUGUCCUCGGCAGUAUUGCCAGGGCCUAAAAGAAGAUCUGGCACACAGUCCUGACUGAAUAAACACAAGAUGCCAAUCCCUUCUUCUAAGACACCAAGAGAAAAUAUAGUCACCGAGAACAAAGCAGGGAGAAACAAAAUCUUGCAGUUAGCUUGGACUUCAACUCUAGACCACCGGUGUUUUCUCUCAAAAGAGAAGAGCUCUUACCUAAAGUAGCCUGGCCUGGAGAGGCUAAGAUCAAGACAGGACAGAAGGCCUCCUCUGGUUCCUUUCACUCUAAAGCCCAAACCCUUGUUGUAAGUCUUAUUACUCCAACAGGAAGAGAGGAUACGCAUGCCCGUCCAAGCCAGAUGGGGAACCCAAUGCAGGAGUAAAAAAGGCUUAUCUUGAUCUAUGUCUUAUCCUCCCCCUUUCCCUUUUUGAGCCUUCAGAUGGAUCACAGCCUUGAUCAAUAGUACAACUGCAACCUCAUGAGGGGCCUUGAGCCAGGGGUACCCAGCUAAGCCAUGCAGGGAUUCCUGCCCCACACAAACUGUGAGAAGAUAAAUUUUUGCUGCUUUUAAGCUGCUAAGUUUCUGAUGUUUCAGAAGAUAAUUUGUUACACAGCAAUAGAUAACCAGCACAAAUGUGUACAUAAAAUUCCCUUAUAUAAAUUCAGGUUAUUUCCAACUUUUCCCACUUGCAAUAUGG
This is a long non-coding RNA of Physeter macrocephalus (sperm whale), 1113 nucleotides long. RefSeq lists it as uncharacterized. The record is from RefSeq and is a predicted model, not a curated record. The transcript is spliced from 3 exons. Lineage: Eukaryota; Metazoa; Chordata; Mammalia; Artiodactyla; Physeteridae.